RNAcentral lists this transfer RNA (72 nucleotides) under Rhingia formosana. RNAcentral's name for it is "tRNA-Trp". RNAcentral also lists the same sequence under 1 other name. The record is from RNAcentral. Lineage: Eukaryota; Metazoa; Arthropoda; Insecta; Diptera; Syrphidae.
UUAAAGCUUUAAGUUAAAUAAACUAAUAACCUUCAAAGUUAUAAAUAUAAGAAUAAUCUUUUAAGUUUUAAU